This 253-nucleotide ribosomal RNA is filed under the name uncultured bacterium. RNAcentral's name for it is "partial 16S ribosomal RNA". It matches the Rfam family "Bacterial small subunit ribosomal RNA", at positions 524 to 776 of the family's 1533-position model. The record is from RNAcentral.
UACGGGGGGGGCGAGCGUUGUCCGGAUUUAUUGGGCGUAAAGAGCGUGUAGGCGGCCAGGUAGGUCUGCUGUGAAAACUCGAGGCUCAACCUCGAGACGUCGGCGGAAACCAUCUGGCUAGAGUCCGGAAGAGGAGAGUGGAAUUCCUGGUGUAGCGGUGAAAUGCGCAGAUAUCAGGAAGAACACCCGUGGCGAAGGCGGCUCUCUGGGCCGAUACUGACGCUGAGGAGCGAAAGCGUGGGGAGCGAACAGG